GAAAACAUGUGUCACAAGAAGUCAACAAUUUGGUCAAACAGGGGAGAAAUUAUCAAACAAAUAGGAAAUGCAUUCAAAAAUUCCAGAAAAAUUCACAAACAUUCCCAACAUGCACAAGUAUCUUCAUGCAAAAAUCCAGACCAUUUUGAGUUCAAUAAGUAUGGUAAUUAAAAUCAUGAAGUUGGACAUGAUUGGUGUGACACAAAUUGUCACACCCCUAUUCAAAAAAUCAUAUCUCAAUAACCAGCAAUGAUAAAAUUACAAACUCUAUACCAAAAUCACCAUGAACAUGUCUAGUUU
Molecule: long non-coding RNA, 300 nt
Filed under: Lathyrus oleraceus (garden pea)
Lineage: Eukaryota; Viridiplantae; Streptophyta; Magnoliopsida; Fabales; Fabaceae
Description: Pisum sativum (pea) long non-coding RNA (PSAT_LNC016372)
Source: RNAcentral